UAUAGUUCUUAUUUUCCUGUUUUUAACUUUAAGUGUCCCUCAUGUUGGCUGAUGUUAGCAUGUCUUUUUCGUAUAUAGAUGUUCGCUGUCUUGGGGGGUGUCUCCGGGAUCCUCUCGGGCUGUCCAGUUGUCUGUCGUUGACUACUCGGGCUUCUCUCUGCGCUUUGAAAAUCUGAAUAUUUUCCACUAUGUAUAGUUCUUCUGGAUUCUGCACUGUUUUAAAUAUCUCUCCUUCUUCCCAUUUGACAUUGGUGUCCCCCUCAUAUGCUUUUCUUGCUGGCGCUGUAUUUAGAUUGGCCUGCUGUAUGUCUCUUUUAUGUUCGGUUGUUCUGUCCUUUGGGUUCCUCUUCGUGGCCCCGAUGUGGAUUUCUGUGUCUCUGGUCUUGUUGUUCUCCAGGGGGAUUCUGUGAGUGCCCGUCCCUUCUUCCCUUGUGUGCUUGUCCUUCACGUUUCUUGGUUUGUUGAAUGCCGUUGGGGGCCUCCUGUAAGCUGCUUUUUUCUUGUUUUUCUUUAUUAUUUCCUUUACUG
RNAcentral lists this long non-coding RNA (528 nucleotides) under Androctonus crassicauda. The record is from RNAcentral. Lineage: Eukaryota; Metazoa; Arthropoda; Arachnida; Scorpiones; Buthidae.